RNAcentral lists this ribosomal RNA (468 nucleotides) under uncultured bacterium. RNAcentral describes it as "partial 16S ribosomal RNA". It matches the Rfam family "Bacterial small subunit ribosomal RNA", at positions 28 to 507 of the family's 1533-position model. The record is from RNAcentral.
GACGAACGCUGGCGGCGUGCUUAACACAUGCAAGUCGAACGGAACGGCCCUGCUUUUGUGGGGUGCUCGAGUGGCGAACGGGUGAGUAACCCGUGAGUAACCUGCCCUUGACUUUGGGAUAACUUCAGGCAACUGGGGCUCAUACCGGAUAGGAGCUCCUGCUGCUUGGUGGGGGUUGGAAAGUUUCGGCGGUUGGGGAUGGACUCGCGGCUUAUCAGCUUGUUGGUGGGGUAGUGGCUUACCAAGGCUUUGACGGGUAGCCGGCCUGAGAGGGUGACCGGCCACAUUGGGACUGGAAUACGGCACAGACUCGUACGGGAGGCAGCAGUGGGGAAUAGUGCACAAUGGGCGGAAGCCUGAUGCAGCAACGCCGCGUGCGGGAUGACGGCCUUCGGGUUGGAAACCGCCUUCGCCUGUGACGAAGCGUGAGUGACGGUAAUGGGUAAAGAAGCACCGGCUAACUACGUG